GAUGAACGCUAGCUACAGGCUUAACACAUGCAAGUCGAGGGGUAGCAGGGUAGCAAUACCGCUGACGACCGGCGCACGGGUGAGUAACACGUAUCCAACCUUCCCAUAACUCGGGGAUAGCCUUUCGAAAGAAAGAUUAAUACCCGAUAGUACUUAACAAAGGCAUCUUUGAUAAGUUAAAGAUUUAUUGGUUAUGGAUGGGGAUGCGUUCCAUUAGAUAGUUGGUGAGGUAACGGCUCACCAAGUCUUCGAUGGAUAGGGGUUCUGAGAGGAAGGACCCCCACAUUGGUACUGAGACACGGACCAGACUCCUACGGGAGGCAGCAGUGAGGAAUAUUGGUCAAUGGGCGAGAGCCUAAACCAGCCAAGUAGCGUGAAGGAUGAAGGUCCUAUGGAUUGUAAACUUCUUUUAUAGUAGAAUAAAGUGAUCCACGUGUGGAUUUUUGUAUGUAUACUAUGAAUAAGGAUCGGCUAACUCCGUGCCAGCCGCCGCAGUAA
Molecule: ribosomal RNA, 498 nt
Filed under: uncultured bacterium
Lineage: Bacteria
Description: partial 16S ribosomal RNA
Rfam family: Bacterial small subunit ribosomal RNA
Source: RNAcentral